RNAcentral lists this long non-coding RNA (491 nucleotides) under Phasianus colchicus (ring-necked pheasant). Its description in RNAcentral is "lncRNA (ENSPCLG00000010488.1)". The record is from RNAcentral. Lineage: Eukaryota; Metazoa; Chordata; Aves; Galliformes; Phasianidae.
GUAAGAUCAGUAAUAGAUUGAAAUAUUUAUUAUCCUUCCUAAUUCUUUCUUUCUCAACAAUUUUACCUCAAGUUGUAAUAGCACUCUAUAACGUAGAGGAAAAUGUCAUUUGUUGUUGUCACUUUGUCCAUUGUAUUUAUGUUUAGCAUGUUUCCUGUUGAUAUUAGGCCACAGCUCAUGAAACUUCAUCUGGUUACAGCUAAUGCAAUGGAACCGUGUGAAUUAAUCUCAGCAGAAGUGCCACUAAAGAGCCAUAAGACUUAUUAUCCUUAGUGAUGGGUUUCAUUUCUGGAACCAGCCCCCCAUUUGUGUUACGAAGUCUUACACUGGUACUAUUUUGGAAUGGAUCUGCUAAAAAUACUGUGCACAAGAGACUCUUUUCAGGCACCCAGAAAAUCCUGUAUGUCAGUUUGACCCUGACGAGUAAAGAUAAUACACAGACAGAUGUGAAAAUACUUGAACAAAUCAGCUGCCUGUUAGCCCAAGGGUAA